Molecule: ribosomal RNA, 636 nt
Filed under: uncultured fungus
Lineage: Eukaryota; Fungi
Description: eukaryotic LSU rRNA
Rfam family: Eukaryotic large subunit ribosomal RNA
Source: RNAcentral
ACCCGCUGAACUUAAGCAUAUCACUAAGCGGAGGAAAAGAAAUUAACUAAGAUUGCCUCAGUAACGGCGAGUGAAGCGGCAAGAGCCCAAGCUGGAAAUCUUCACACUGCGUGUGACGAAUUGUAAUCUAAAGAGGGUUCGCUCAACGGGCGGUGGCGCAGAAGUGCCUUAGAACGGGCCGCCAGAGAGGGUGACAGCCCCGUAUGUGGUGCCACUGCCUAACGAGCGGGUCCCCGAAGAGUCGGGUUGUUUUGUAUUGCAGCCCUAAGUGGGAGAUAAACUUCUUCUAAGGCUAAAUACCUAUGGGAAACCGAUAGCGAACAAGUACUGUGAAGGAAAGAUGAAAAGAACUUUGAAAAGAGAGUCAAAAGACUUGAAAUCGUUGAGAAGGAAGCGGUAGAAAUUUAUUCUUCGGCGGAGAACGGUGACUUCUGCCUAACCAUUGCCGGCUGUCAGCACUUCGUAAGGCUGCGGCCGGCACAUGGGGAAGCGGCUGUCUUGUUCUCCGUCGUGAGGCAAAAUGAGGUCGCACAUCCGCAGAGGCUUCCCAGACCUGGCCCGAUUCGUCGGGUAGUCUGGGUUUGCCGGUGGGCGUGCGGCCUGAGGUGCUUCGUGCGAUUUUGCCAAAAUGGUUUU